This 455-nucleotide ribosomal RNA is filed under the name uncultured organism. RNAcentral describes it as "bacterial SSU rRNA". It matches the Rfam family "Bacterial small subunit ribosomal RNA", at positions 346 to 794 of the family's 1533-position model. The record is from RNAcentral.
GCGCACCAGUCGAGAAUUUUUCUCAAUGGGGGAAACCCUGAAGGAGCGACGCCGCGUGGAGGAUGAAGGUCUUCGGGUUGUAAACUCCUGUCAUUUGGGAACAAGCGUCGGUAGGUAACUACUACCGGCUUGAUAGUACCAGAAGAGGAAGAGACGGCUAACUCUGUGCCAGCAGCCGCGGUAAUACAGAGGUCUCAAGCGUUGUUCGGAUUCAUUGGGCGUAAAGGGUGCGUAGGUGGCGCCGUAAGUGGGGUGUGAAAUUUCGGAGCUUAACUCCGAAACUGCAUUCCAUACUGCGGUGCUUGAGGACUGGAGAGGAGACUGGAAUUCAUGGUGUAGCAGUGAAAUGCGUAGAGAUCAUGAGGAAGACCAGUGGCGAAGGCGGGUCUCUGGACAGUUCCUGACACUGAUGCACGAAGGCCAGGGGAGCGAACGGGAUUAGAUACCCCUGUAGU